AGCGAACGCUGGCGGCAGGCUUAACACAUGCAAGUCGAACGGGCACUUCGGUGCUAGUGGCAGACGGGUGAGUAACGCGUGGGAACGUGCCUUUCGGUUCGGAAUAAUCCAGGGAAACUUGGACUAAUACCGGAUACGCCCUUCGGGGGAAAGAUUUAUCGCCGAAAGAUCGGCCCGCGUCGUGAUUAGCUAGUUGGUGAGGUAAAGGCUCACCAAGGCGACGAUCAGUAGCUGGUCUGAGAGGAUGAUCAGCCACACUGGGACUGAGACACGGCCCAGACUCCUACGGGAGGCAG
This 296-nucleotide ribosomal RNA is filed under the name uncultured bacterium. RNAcentral's name for it is "partial 16S ribosomal RNA". It matches the Rfam family "Bacterial small subunit ribosomal RNA", at positions 29 to 351 of the family's 1533-position model. The record is from RNAcentral.